RNAcentral lists this ribosomal RNA (361 nucleotides) under uncultured rumen bacterium. RNAcentral describes it as "bacterial SSU rRNA". It matches the Rfam family "Bacterial small subunit ribosomal RNA", at positions 19 to 363 of the family's 1533-position model. The record is from RNAcentral.
UUGGCUCAGGAUGAACGCUGGCGGCGUGCCUAACACAUGCAAGUCGAGCGAUGAAUAAACCGACAAGGUUUCGGCCAAGGAAGUUUAUUCAGAGCGGCGGAUGGGUGAGGAACGCGUGGGGAACCUGCCUUUCACCGGGGGAUACCAGCUGGAAACGGCUGUUAAUACCGCAUAUGCUCACGGUGCCGCAUGGCACAGGGAGGAAAACUCCGGUGGUGAAAGAUGGACCCGCGUCGGAUUAGUUAGUUGGUGAGGUAACGGCCCACCAAGACGAUGAUCCGUAGCCGGCCUGAGAGGGCGACCGGCCACAUUGGGACUGAGACACGGCCCAAACUCCUACGGGAGGCAGCAGUGGGGAAUA